UAAGGAAUAUUGGUCAAUGGACGCAAGUCUGAACCAGCCAUGCCGCGUGAAGGAUUAAGGCCCUCUGGGUUGUAAACUUCUUUUAUAGGGGAAGAAAUGUGACGGUUCUCUGUCACUUGACGGUACCCUGGGAAUAAGCACCGGCUAACUCCGUGCCAGCAGCCGCGGUAAUACGGAGGGUGCAAGCGUUAUCCGGAUUCACUGGGUUUAAAGGGUGCGUAGGUGGGCAGAUAAGUCAGUGGUGAAAUCUUCCGGCUUAACCGGGAAACUGCCGUUGAUACUAUUUGUCUUGAAUAUUGCGGAGGUAAGCGGAAUAUGUCAUGUAGCGGUGAAAUGCUUAGAUAUGACAUAGAACACCAAUUGCGAAGGCAGCUUACUACACAAUCAUUGACACUGAGGCACGAAAGCGUGGGUAGCGAACA
This 422-nucleotide ribosomal RNA is filed under the name uncultured bacterium. RNAcentral describes it as "bacterial SSU rRNA". It matches the Rfam family "Bacterial small subunit ribosomal RNA", at positions 355 to 774 of the family's 1533-position model. The record is from RNAcentral.